Molecule: ribosomal RNA, 493 nt
Filed under: uncultured bacterium
Lineage: Bacteria
Description: partial 16S ribosomal RNA
Rfam family: Bacterial small subunit ribosomal RNA
Source: RNAcentral
GACGAACGCUGGCGGCGUGCUUAACACAUGCAAGUCGAACGGUGAAGCGCCUUCCUUUUUGGUGGUGUGGAUGAGUGGCGAACGGGUGAGUAACACGUGAGUAACCUGCCCCCUUCUUCUGGAUAACCGCAUGAAAGUGUGGCUAAUACGGGAUAUUCUGGGUCUGUCGCAUGAUGGGUCUGGGAAAGAUAUUGUUUCGGUGGGGGAUGGGCUCGCGGCCUAUCAGCUUGUUGGUGGGGUGAUGGCCUACCAAGGCGGUGACGGGUAGCCGGCCUGAGAGGGUGGACGGUCACACUGGGACUGAGACACGGCCCAGACUCCUACGGGAGGCAGCAGUGGGGAAUAUUGCACAAUGGGCGCAAGCCUGAUGCAGCGACGCCGCGUGAGGGAUGGAGGCCUUCGGGUUGUGAACCUCUUUCGCCAGUGAAGCAGGCCUGCCUCGUUUGUGGGUGGGUUGACGGUAGCUGGAUAAGAAGCGCCGGCUAACUACGUG